AAUAAAAAUACAACUUCAAGCUACAUAUACAUUUGACAGAGGUAAUGAACUGUCCAUUGAUCAGCACAGCAAUUGAUAAAACAGGACCAUGUUUGAAAUGAAAUUGAAAUUAAGUGAAUUUUACAAAAGGGAAGCAAAUGGUUUCAGAAAUCCUGAAUGCAGACAGGCUCUAUAGACCUCUAAGGGUUAGCUUACUACUAUAUCUGUUGAAGACAACGAUUCAGUACUACUACUCUGUUGAAGACAAAGGUUCAGUACUACUACUCUGUUAAAGACAACGGUUCAUUACUACUAUAUCUGUUGAAGACAACGAUUCAGUACUACUACUCUGUUGAAGACAACGAUUCUGUUGAAGACAAUUUUCUGUACUAUCUAUCUGCUGAAGUCAUUGACACCAGUUGUCUUCAAGAGAUGACGCUGAACUAUCCAUGCGGAUGGCCGACGUGCCAUCUGACGUAAGACCGUAGAAUACCUGUUAGCAGACAGCUCUGAGACAUGUUCUGUAUAGUUACUAAAUACAUGUUGGCAGACAGCUCUGAGACAUGUUCUGUAUAGUUACUAAAUACAUGUUGGCAGACAGCUCUGAGACAUGUUCUGUAUAGUUACUAAAUACAUGUUAGCAGACAGCUCCGAGACAUGUUCUGUAUAGUUACUAAAUACAUGUUGGCAGACAGCUCUGAGACAUGUUCUGUAUAGUUACUAAAUACAUGUUAGCAGACAGCUCCGAGACAUGUUCUGUAUAGUUACUAAAUACAUGUUGACAGACAGCUCCGAGACAUGUUCUGUAUAGUUACUAAAUACAUGUUGACAGACAGCUCUGAGACAUGUUGUUCUGUAUAGUUACUAAAUACAUGUUGACAGACAGCUCUGAGACAUGUUGUUCUGUAUAGUUACUAAAUACAUGUUGGCAGACAGCUCUGAGACAUGUUGUUCUGUAUAGUUACUAAAUACAUGUUGGCAGACAGCUCUGAGACAUGUUCUGUAUAGUGUACACAGUGGUGGUAAUCAAGAUAGCUGACAUUUUCCAGACCAGGCUAGAAGAACAUGUUUGUCUUUUCAAAUAUCCCAUGGCCCAGAUUUUUGGAUGCAGGCCAGUAGGAAUUGUGGUAUAGAAGUCCUUUAAAAAAAUUCAUUAAGUUCCAUCCCUGAGUGUUCAUAUUUGGUGAUAUUCAUAUUUGUAUGUCAUUUUUGUGUCAAAAUAAACAAAGCUUUCUAAUUAAUCACCACACAAACUGACAGGCGUUUGUAGAGUCAUUUUAUUAGAAAACCCCUGCACAGUGAGACAGCGCUAAUGCAAGCAGAGGUACGGCAUCUCACUGCUACUCGACAUGGUCCUCUUCAGCCACCU
RNAcentral lists this long non-coding RNA (1348 nucleotides) under Salmo salar (Atlantic salmon). RNAcentral describes it as "lncRNA (ENSSSAG00000112294.1)". Lineage: Eukaryota; Metazoa; Chordata; Actinopteri; Salmoniformes; Salmonidae. The record is from RNAcentral.